RNAcentral lists this transfer RNA (75 nucleotides) under Uromastyx alfredschmidti (Schmidt's mastigure). RNAcentral's name for it is "tRNA-His". Lineage: Eukaryota; Metazoa; Chordata; Lepidosauria; Squamata; Agamidae. The record is from RNAcentral.
GAUCAUGGUAGUUUUAAACCUAAACCGCUAGGCCGUGGCCCUAACAAUAGAAGACCCCGUACCUUCUCCAUGACC